GCCAGGUGUGAUGAUAUGCACCUGUAGUCCCAGCUACUUGGAGGCUAAUAAGGCAGGAGGAUCACUUGAGCCCAGGAGUUCUGGGUUGCAGUGAGCUGCUUGUACUACUGCACUCUAGCCUUGGUGACAGAGUGAGACCCUGUCUUUA
This is a non-coding RNA of Nomascus leucogenys (northern white-cheeked gibbon), 148 nucleotides long. It matches the Rfam family "Metazoan signal recognition particle RNA". From Rfam's summary of the family: The signal recognition particle (SRP) is a universally conserved ribonucleoprotein. It is involved in the co-translational targeting of proteins to membranes. The eukaryotic SRP consists of a 300-nucleotide 7S RNA and six proteins: SRPs 72, 68, 54, 19, 14, and 9. NCBI's taxonomy places the organism in Eukaryota, Metazoa, Chordata, Mammalia, Primates, Hylobatidae. The record is from Rfam.